Molecule: ribosomal RNA, 497 nt
Filed under: uncultured bacterium
Lineage: Bacteria
Description: partial 16S ribosomal RNA
Rfam family: Bacterial small subunit ribosomal RNA
Source: RNAcentral
GAUGAACGCUGGCGGCGUGCCUAAUACAUGCCAGUCGAGCGAACGGACGAGAAGCUUGCUUCUCUGAUGUUAGCGGCGGACGGGUGAGUAACACGUGGAUAACCUACCUAUAAGACUGGGAUAACUUCGGGAAACCGGAGCUAAUACCGGAUAAUAUUUUGAACCGCAUGGUUCAAAAGUGAAAGACGGUCUUGCUGUCACUUAUAGAUGGAUCCGCGCUGCAUUAGCUAGUUGGUAAGGUAACGGCUUACCAAGGCAACGAUGCAUAGCCGAUCUGAGAGGGUGAUCGGCCACACUGGAACUGAGACACGGUCCAGACUCCUACGGGAGGCAGCAGUAGGGAAUCUUCCGCAAUGGGCGAAAGCCUGACGGAGCAACGCCGCGUGAGUGAUGAAGGUCUUCGGAUCGUAAAACUCUGUUAUUAGGGAAGAACAUAUGUGUAAGUAACUGUGCACAUCUUGACGGUACCUAAUCAGAAAGCCACGGCUAACUACGUG